This 823-nucleotide long non-coding RNA is filed under the name Phoenix dactylifera (date palm). RNAcentral describes it as "long non-coding RNA (PDAC_LNC016795)". Lineage: Eukaryota; Viridiplantae; Streptophyta; Magnoliopsida; Arecales; Arecaceae. The record is from RNAcentral.
UAGGAUUCGGGUUUUCGGGUUUGACCCGACCCGAUACCCGUACGACCCGCACGUGCAACUCACGUGCACUGCUUUUUUUUGUGGCGGAUCCGGGCUACCGAAUUGUGGGUUAACGGGUUUAGGCCUUACCCGUUAAUCCUUUCUUCAACCUCCCGAUGGGUUCGGGAGGAUACGCCGAUCUCUGCGGCGGCGGUCGCGGGGCGGGUCGGCGAUCACAGGCGGCGGCCGGUCACGAGCUCCGGCUGGUGGCGGCUGUGGACUGUUGGCGACAGACAACGGCUCGGUGGGAUGGGCGUCUCCUCUGCGGACCCAGCGCAGGCGGCCAGUGGCAAACGUGGGCGGCUCGGUGGGGUGCUCGUCGGCAGAGUUCGACGGCGGGGAGGCGGCGCGAUGCGGGGUGGUGGUGGCCUCGGGCGCGGUGACGGGUGGAAGGGGAAGAGCAGCCGCAGGGUUUUUUUUUUUAGUGAAAACCGAGAGGAGAAGAAGAACAGGUUAAGGGUUUUUUUUUUUUUCCUUGGUGAGACCUGAGAGGGAGGACUCGCACACACGGAAACAGGGCGCGGGAGUUCUGCUUCGAAAGAAGAAAGGAUCAGAACCUUUCUCGUAUGGCAGGAAAUCUGACAGGGCAAGAUGUUCUGUUGCUCCAAUAAACAGAUCGGGCUUUGGCAACAGGGGCAAAACCAGCCUUGCUCUGAUACCAAGUUGAUGCCGAACCAAAUUUAAAAUGGAAGCAGAAGAAGAGGGGAAGAGGAGGAGGAAGAAGAAGAGAAGAAGGAGAAGGAAGGAGGAGAAAGGAGAGGAAAACGUGGGGGAAAGAAAUUUC